This 253-nucleotide ribosomal RNA is filed under the name uncultured bacterium. Its description in RNAcentral is "partial 16S ribosomal RNA". It matches the Rfam family "Bacterial small subunit ribosomal RNA", at positions 524 to 776 of the family's 1533-position model. The record is from RNAcentral.
UACGUAGGGUGCGAGCGUUGUCCGGAAUUAUUGGGCGUAAAGAGCUUGUAGGCGGUUUGUCGCGUCUGCUGUGAAAAUCCGGGGCUCAACCCCGGACUUGCAAUGGGUACGGGCAGACUAGAGUGUGGUAGGGGAGACUGGAAUUCCUGGUGUAGCGGUGGAAUGCGCAGAUAUCAGGAGGAACACCGAUGGCGAAGGCAGGUCUCUGGGCCACUACUGACGCUGAGAAGCGAAAGCAUGGGGAGCGAACAGG